GUGUUGAUAUAAUUCAGAUAUGUUAAAAUACAGUGUGUUCAAAAUCUGUUUUUGCAGAAACACAAUAGCCGACCACGCAUAUUGGAUUAGUUUAAAUUACAGUUUUAAAUGUAUGACUUUGAUCUUUGUUGCCUUGAAUUGGGAGGAUUAAAAAAAUAGAAUUUAGUUAACUCAAUCUACAAACUACUGACAUCUAGAGGUGAUUUUUUACACACUGUAGUUUAGUCUACUUUGUCUACUUUGGGUAAAUGUAAACAGUGUUGACAAUGCAUUACCCUCUACUAUAUUAUACUAGGCCUAUUUAUAAUUCAUAUAUUAAUUUACUAUCAUUAAGAUUACUCACUGUCUUGUAAUAAUAAUAAUAAUUAAAAAAAUUUCUAAGAAAGUCUUGUAAGAGAUUGAACUAUUCCAUUCCUUUUAAACACACCAUGUAUAAUGUUCACAGUGAUUUUUAUACAACUCUCUGAUGAAAUGCCAGGAACUUAAUUGUCAGCAGUCACCCCUCCAUGUGAGAAAACAACAAAGCAAAGCAUCAUACAGUACAUGGGUCCAGAACUCAUUAGAUGGUCCCUGCAUAAAGCAGUACAGACAUUAAUUCUUCUGCAGAGCCAGUCUUGGGAUCUGGACCAGCACACCACUGCUACAUCCUGCCAGUCUGUCUCCUCUGAUGAUCAAUAGUGGUGAACAGAAGGCAGCUGGAAGCUCACUUCUAAAGACUUUUGUAGUGUGCCAACUUAUUUUGGUUGGCAAUCCUUGAUUAGUGUUUAAUCUCACUGGCCUUUGCUAAAUUCUACUUAUCCUUGAUGAAAUAAACUGUCAGCUGACAAUAUCACAAGACAGAGCGACAUAAAUUAAAACAUUUUGGAUACUAUUUAAUGUUAAAUUAAAGAAGAACUCACUACGUUUAGAGCAGCUGCUAUAACAAACCCCGUCUUGGGCAUUGUCUCUUAGAAGGCUGCAUAUUGUACGCUUAGGGGCACAUUAUUUAUGGUUGGUUAGAAUUGGAUGGUAAAAUACAGCAAGUUUGUUUCGCUAACAAGAACACACUGCGGGUUUGCUCACUACCAGUUAGUUGGCUCUGAGUGUGUGCUGGACAAUUAAACUGUUAAUUAAAAUGCUUUUCAUAACACCUGAAGAAUAACAACAAAUUAUGAGGCUGCGAAGUCAUUUAACCCUUUAAAGUGUGUAAUGUUGAUUCUGCUUUACUUUGUCCUUUUGUGAUACUUUAGCCAGACAGUUUUCCUCUGCAUGUUUUGUCUGAUACCCUGAAGUACCUCAAACCGCUGAGCAUCGCAGCUUUUACAGAAAAAAUAUUUGAAAAUGCAAAUUAUUCACAGAUGAGUCCAGGAAAUGAAGUAGCAGUGGUUCUCCUGGCCACCUCCCUGUUCUCCACUUUGCUAUCACCGUGUCUUCUGUGUUGCUGAUGGUUUUGCCCCUGUGCUCAGAUUCAUAAAAGAUGAGAUGAAAUGCAGCUUUAUUGAUCCCGGUAGGGAAAUUCUGUCACUGCAGCAGCAACAAAAUGGGCUUCAGCAGGGGAAAAGGAAACAAUACAAGAGCAAAUAAAAAAAUGAUGCAUGUAAAAAGACAUGCUAAACAUCUGCAGAGUUAAAAAACAUAUUUGAUCAUUUUGAUGGACUGAUUUGAGAAAGAUAGUUUUAGAUUUAGAGAGAACUGAUAGACAAUGAAAGAAAGAAAUGAUAAGACUGUGCAACAAGAUUAUUGCCAAAGAACCUGCGAAUGCCUGCGUUUGUUUACGUGCAUCAUUUAAAGCUUCCAGCCAGCAGGGACCUACGUAUCGGUGUUUGGUUAAGUCUAGACGGGGAGGGACACGAUCGCUGUAGGCGUACAGCAUGCUCCAGCUACCGCUCUCUGCUUUUUGCGUGUCUCCCGCUUUCUUUGUUUCAGAACCUCUCCCCCUCUGUCUCUUUCUUUCUCUGUGUUUAACCGCGUACUGUUAAAUGAGGGGGAACAGAAGCUGCAGAAGUCGGAGACAGGGCGAGUUCAAGAGCCGGAGAGAGCAGCAGACGCGCCAGCUGCCAAUCACAGCUGUCAAUCAGUGGCCUCAUGACACACAUCAAAGACUUCUUCACAAUUCCUCCUCAGGGUAGAGGAUAGCACUGUUACACAAGUUUUUCUCAAUCUUCUGAGAUAUUUACUUGGCAGGAGAUCCUUUGCAGACAGUUGAUUUCCUGAAGUCUAGGAGCCAUGGACGUCACCAGAUGCUGCGUUUCCUCCCUUAAGAUGCUUUGUUAGGUCUUCAGUUGUUACUUACUUGCUCGUCUCCCUGCUUUCAGUACCUGAAAAGCAUGCUCUGUCAGGUUGAAGUCAGGUUGAAAAGUAUCCCAUUUUUUUGCCUUGAGAAACUCUUGGUUUCCUUUUGCUGUUUGCUUUGGGUCAUUUUCUCUGUCCAAUCAGUUUCUCCAGCAUUUGGCUGAAUGUGAGCAGAGAGUAUAGCCCUGUAUACUUCAAAAUUCAUCCUGCUGCUUCUAUACAUGUCCAUGCCAUAACAUUACCUCCACUAUGUUUGACAGAUAAUGUGGUACACCGUUUCUCUCUUUCUCUACCAAUCAGUCUGGUACAUUUUCUUGUUUUAUCCACCCAAACAUGUUUUUUGUGUGUAUUCCAGUACUAGGCAUGCUCGCCUUUGUCUUCUUGAGUGUAGCCAGUGGUUUCUACCUUAUUUUAAAACCUCUGUAUUUCCUUUCAGGAAGGCACCACAUGAUUGUUGACCUGAACAAUGAUGGCCUACCUCUUUGAGACUGCUCUUGGCUUAGUUAGAUGUAGUAAAAUGACUUUAUUAAUCCAGAAAAUAAUUCUGUGAUCAUCAGCUUAGUUGUCUUCACUGCUCUUUCAGUCCUUUUGACGUUGCUUUGCUGUCCAGUAAAACCUAUUGAUGGCUUCCUUCAUUAACAUCUCUUUGGACCUCCGGACAGCUCCAGUGAGUUUGCAACAUUAAAAAGAAACUGCAAUUCUUUUAUUGUCUUAAUUAAAGAUGGAAUAACAGAACAGGCCUCACCUGAACAUGAAACUGUCUAUCAGUCAGUUAUUUUGUUUUAACUUCUC
Oreochromis niloticus (Nile tilapia) is the source of this 3063-nucleotide long non-coding RNA. RefSeq lists it as uncharacterized. NCBI's taxonomy places the organism in Eukaryota, Metazoa, Chordata, Actinopteri, Cichliformes, Cichlidae. The transcript is spliced from 3 exons. The record is from RefSeq and is a predicted model, not a curated record.